AUACGUAGGGUGCAAGCGUUAAUCGGAAUUACUGGGCGUAAAGCGUGCGCAGGCGGUUCGGAAAGAAGGAUGUGAAAUCCCAGGGCUCAACCUUGGAACUGCAUUCUUAACUACCGGACUAGAGUAUGUCAGAGGGGGGUAGAAUUCCGCGUGUAGCAGUGAAAUGCGUAGAUAUGCGGAGGAAUACCGAUGGCGAAGGCAGCCCCCUGGGAUAAUACUGACGCUCAUGCACGAAAGCGUGGGUAGCAAACAGGAUUAGAUACCCUGGUAGUCCACGCCCUAAACGAUGUCAACUAGCUGUUGGGCCCUUCGGGGCUUAGUAGCGUAGCUAACGCGUGAAGUUGACCGCCUGGGGGGUACGGUCGCAAGAUUAAAACUCAAAUGAAUUGACGGGG
Molecule: ribosomal RNA, 395 nt
Filed under: uncultured bacterium
Lineage: Bacteria
Description: partial 16S ribosomal RNA
Rfam family: Bacterial small subunit ribosomal RNA
Source: RNAcentral